UGGGGAAUUUUGGACAAUGGGGGCAACCCUGAUCCAGCAAUGCCGCGUGAGUGAAGAAGGCCUUCGGGUUGUAAAGCUCUUUUGUCAGGGAAGAAACGGUAGUAGCGAAUAACUACUACUAAUGACGGUACCUGAAGAAUAAGCACCGGCUAACUACGUGCCAGCAGCCGCGGUAAUACGUAGGGUGCAAGCGUUAAUCGGAAUUACUGGGCGUAAAGCGUGCGCAGGCGGUUGUGUAAGUCAGAUGUGAAAUCCCCGGGCUCAACCUGGGAAUUGCAUUUGAGACUGCACGGCUAGAGUGUGUCAGGAGGGGGGUAGAAUUCCACGUGUAGCAGUGAAAUGCGUAGAUAUGUGGAGGAAUACCGAUGGCGAAGGCAGCCCCCUGGGAUAACACUGACGCUCAUGCACGAAAGCGUGGGGAGCAAACAGGAUUAGAUACCCUGGUAGUCCCUGAGCGGGCUGGCAAGGCGCAU
RNAcentral lists this ribosomal RNA (473 nucleotides) under uncultured bacterium. Its description in RNAcentral is "bacterial SSU rRNA". It matches the Rfam family "Bacterial small subunit ribosomal RNA", at positions 355 to 825 of the family's 1533-position model. The record is from RNAcentral.